This 448-nucleotide ribosomal RNA is filed under the name uncultured bacterium. Its description in RNAcentral is "SSU rRNA". It matches the Rfam family "Bacterial small subunit ribosomal RNA", at positions 26 to 518 of the family's 1533-position model. The record is from RNAcentral.
AGAGCGAACGCUGGCGGCAGGCUUAACACAUGCAAGUCGAGCGGGCGUAGCAAUACGUCAGCGGCAGACGGGUGAGUAACGCGUGGGAACAUACCUUUUGGUUCGGAACAACACAGGGAAACUUGUGCUAAUACCGGAUAAGCCCUUACGGGGAAAGAUUUAUCGCCGAAAGAUUGGCCCGCGUCUGAUUAGCUAGUUGGUGAGGUAACGGCUCACCAAGGCGACGAUCAGUAGCUGGUCUGAGAGGAUGAUCAGCCACAUUGGGACUGAGACACGGCCCAAACUCCUACGGGAGGCAGCAGUGGGAAUAUUGGACAAUGGGCGCAAGCCUGAUCCAGCCAUGCCGCGUGAGUGAUGGAAGGCCCUAGGGUUGUAAAGCUCUUUUGUGCGGGAAGAUAAUGACGGUACCGCAAGAAUAAGCCCCGGCUAACUUCGCGCCAGCAGCCGC